RNAcentral lists this ribosomal RNA (361 nucleotides) under uncultured bacterium. RNAcentral's name for it is "bacterial SSU rRNA". It matches the Rfam family "Bacterial small subunit ribosomal RNA", at positions 8 to 352 of the family's 1533-position model. The record is from RNAcentral.
AGAGUUUGAUCAUGGCUCAGGAUGAAUGCUAGCGGCGUGCCUAAGGUAUGCAAGUCGACCGUGAACAAACGACGCAAGUCGUGAGUCGAACGGGGCAAACGGCUGAGUAACACGUAGGAAUCUACCCUUAUCUCGGGGAUAACCCGCCGAAAGGCGGACUAAUACCGGAUAAAAUCUUUCGGAGGGAUCUGAAAGAUCAAAGGUGGCCUCUCCAUGGAUGCUACUGCCUGAGGAUGAGCCUGCGUCCCAUUAGCUUGUUGGUAGGGUAAUGGCCUACCAAGGCUACGAUGGGUAGCUGGUCUGAGAGGAUGACCAGUCACACUGGAACUGGAACACGGUCCAGACUCCUACGGGAGGCAGC